RNAcentral lists this ribosomal RNA (294 nucleotides) under uncultured archaeon. RNAcentral's name for it is "partial 16S ribosomal RNA". It matches the Rfam family "Archaeal small subunit ribosomal RNA", at positions 501 to 795 of the family's 1478-position model. The record is from RNAcentral.
UUAUUGGGCUUAAAGCGUCCGUAGCCGGUUUAGCAAGUCUCCUGUUAAAUUCAGCGACCUAAUCGUUGAGCCGCGGGAGAUACUACUAGGCUAGGAGGCGAGAGAGGCCGACGGUAUUCUCGGGGUAGGGGUGAAAUCCUAUAAUCCCGGGAGGACCACCAGUGGCGAAGGCUGUCGGCUAGAACGCGCUCGACGGUGAGGGACGAAAGCUGGGGGAGCAAACCGGAUUAGAUACCCGGGUAGUCCCAGCUGUAAACGAUGCGGGCUAGGUGUUGGGGUGGCUACGAGCCACUU